UACGGGGGGGGCAAGCGCUGUUCGGAAUUACUGGGCGUAAAGGGCUCGUAGGCGGCCAACUAAGUCAGACGUGAAAUCCCUCGGCUUAACCGGGGAACUGCAUCUGAUACUGGAUGGCUUGAGUUUGGGAGAGGGAUGCGGAAUUCCAGGUGUAGCGGUGAAAUGCGUAGAUAUCUGGAGGAACACCGGUGGCGAAGGCGGCAUCCUGGACCAACACUGACGCUGAGGAGCGAAAGCCAGGGGAGCAAACGGG
RNAcentral lists this ribosomal RNA (253 nucleotides) under uncultured bacterium. RNAcentral describes it as "partial 16S ribosomal RNA". It matches the Rfam family "Bacterial small subunit ribosomal RNA", at positions 524 to 776 of the family's 1533-position model. The record is from RNAcentral.